Labeo rohita (rohu) is the source of this 476-nucleotide long non-coding RNA. RefSeq lists it as uncharacterized. The transcript is spliced from 4 exons. The record is from RefSeq and is a predicted model, not a curated record. Lineage: Eukaryota; Metazoa; Chordata; Actinopteri; Cypriniformes; Cyprinidae.
UGACCAAGAGGGCCCCAUAUGUGUUUCCCCAUUCAGAACCCAUAUAGAGGUAGCUUAUGUGGGUACUACCUUGGGCCCAUGUAGGCAGCCUAUAUGGGACUGAUUGUGUUUGCCCAUGUUUUACCCAUAUGGUUUGACCAAGAGGGCCCCAUAUGUGUUUCCCCAUUUAGAACCCAUAUAGAGGUAGCUUAUGUGGGUACUACCUUGGGCCCAUGUAGGCAGCCUAUAUGAGACUGAUUGUGUUUGCCCAUGUUUUACCCAUAUGGUUUGACCAAGGGGGCCCCAUAUGUGUUUCCCCAUUUAGAACCCAUAUAGAGGUAGCUUAUGUGGGUACUACCUUGGGCCCAUGUAGGCAGCCUAUAUGAGACUGAUUGUGUUUGCCCAUGUUUUACCCAUAUGGUUUGACCAAGAGGGCCCCAUAUGUGUUUCCCCAUUUAGAACCCAUAUAGAGGUACCUUAUGUGGGUACUACCUUGG